UCUUCCCUCUGGCGGCGUGCCUAAUACAUGCCAGUCGAGCGAACGGACGAGAAGCUUGCUUCUCUGAUGUUAGCGGCGGACGGGUGAGUAACACGUGGAUAACCUACCUAUAAGACUGGGAUAACUUCGGGAAACCGGAGCUAAUACCGGAUAAUAUUUUGAACCGCAUGGUUCAAAAGUGAAAGACGGUCUUGCUGUCACUUAUAGAUGGAUCCGCGCUGCAUUAGCUAGUUGGUAAGGUAACGGCUUACCAAGGCAACGAUGCAUAGCCGACCUGAGAGGGUGAUCGGCCACACUGGAACUGAGACACGGUCCAGACUCCUACGGGAGGCAGCAGUAGGGAAUCUUCCGCAAUGGGCGAAAGCCUGACGGAGCAACGCCGCGUGAGUGAUGAAGGUCUUCGGAUCGUAAAACUCUGUUAUUAGGGAAGAACAUAUGUGUAAGUAACUGUGCACAUCUUGACGGUACCUAAUCAGAAAGCCACGGCUAACUACGUG
Molecule: ribosomal RNA, 497 nt
Filed under: uncultured bacterium
Lineage: Bacteria
Description: partial 16S ribosomal RNA
Rfam family: Bacterial small subunit ribosomal RNA
Source: RNAcentral